GCAGUGGUGGUUGAGUGGUAGAAUUUUUGCCUUCCAUGUGGAAGACCUGGGUUUGAUUCCUGGUCCAUGCA
Molecule: transfer RNA, 71 nt
Filed under: Loxodonta africana (African savanna elephant)
Lineage: Eukaryota; Metazoa; Chordata; Mammalia; Proboscidea; Elephantidae
Rfam family: tRNA
About the family: Transfer RNA (tRNA) molecules are approximately 80 nucleotides in length. Their secondary structure includes four short double-helical elements and three loops (D, anti-codon, and T loops).
Source: Rfam by way of RNAcentral